Oryza glaberrima (African rice) is the source of this 208-nucleotide non-coding RNA. NCBI's taxonomy places the organism in Eukaryota, Viridiplantae, Streptophyta, Magnoliopsida, Poales, Poaceae. The record is from Rfam.
AAAAACUCAAUUCCUAGGUUUUUCGUGUCUAACGUUUGACCGUUCGUCUUAUUUGAAAAUUUUAUAAAAAAGUUUAAAAAGAUAAGUCAUGUAUAAAGUAUUAUUUAUGCUUUAUCAUCUAACAAUAAUGAAAGUACUAAUCAUAAAAAAAUUUCAUAUAAGACGGACGGUCAAACGUUGGACACGAAAACCCAAGAAUUGAGUCUUU